GCUUACAUCCAUACCAACCUGGCUAUACCCGAUCUCGGAAGCUAAGCAGGUUUGGGCCUGGUUAGUACUUGGAUGGGAGACCGCCUAGGAAUACCAGGUGCUGUAAGCU
Molecule: ribosomal RNA, 109 nt
Filed under: Carassius auratus (goldfish)
Lineage: Eukaryota; Metazoa; Chordata; Actinopteri; Cypriniformes; Cyprinidae
Source: RNAcentral